This 106-nucleotide small nucleolar RNA is filed under the name Nicotiana attenuata. RNAcentral's name for it is "Plant small nucleolar RNA R71". It matches the Rfam family "Plant small nucleolar RNA R71". From Rfam's summary of the family: R71 is a member of the C/D box family of snoRNAs containing the C (UGAUGA) and D (CUGA) box motifs. The record is from Rfam by way of RNAcentral. Lineage: Eukaryota; Viridiplantae; Streptophyta; Magnoliopsida; Solanales; Solanaceae.
AUACCAUGGUGUGGGCAUUUUUUUAACAUUGCUUUUAAUCUUUCCCAUGCUGGUAUACAGAUUCAGUAUCUGUUUGCAUAAAAUUAUUGAUUUCUUGCUUCAUUUU